GUAUCCACGUGUUUGCUCGUGUGAGAAAUAAAAGUUGAAUGGAAGUAUUCGUUUUCAAAAAUUGCUUGCAACCUGGGACCUACCCAAUGAUGUAAUAGGAAAUUUUGAAGUUAAUGAAACUGAUGAGUUGAAUUUAUUAACUAUGUCAAAAGACGAUAUUGACGAUCUUUUCAACGGAUACACAAUCUGAUUAAAAUCCCGAUUUAAGAAGCACUUAAAUGACUACCGAGAAAAUCAGAUGGUAAGUCAAAGUACUAUUAUUAAAGCGUAAUUAUCAACCGGACUCUAAUUUCGGCCAAAAACGUAAACGAGAAAAUUAUGAAGAUGAUAGAGUUUUGAAAAAAUCAAAUUCAAAAUUAAUUGAUGGCUCCGAACUUAACCGUUUCGAUGAAAGAUUUAAUAAGGAAUGUUCUGAAGCACAGUCUCUGCUAAAUAACGAUUUUUUGAGAGAGGAGGUAGCGUCACAAACUAGAAAGCAGUCUAGCAAUUAUAUAACGGAAUUUUUGGAGGGAGAGAGUUCUGAACAUUUGAAACAAACAAAUAAUGGGUCCGAAUGGAAUAAAGGCACCCAUAAUUUCUGAACUGAAUCGAGUAGUAGAGACCAAUUUUUUGAUCUUCAUAAUCUCGACCCAGAAAAUUUUCUGAACAACAUUAAUUCGGAUAAGCUACUCCUAUUUAAGUACAAAAAUAGAGCAAUAGACUAUGAUGGGCAAAAAAUUAGUAGAACUCAUUAUUCAUGGUCUCAUGGAACAGCCAAUAUCGAGCAGUAGUGCCUCCAACAAAGUUGAGUUGUGAAUUUCUACUCACUUAUCUUCACACAUAAAAAUAUAUAUUAAAUAUAAAUAUUCUUUUUGUAAUGUGCUAUAGGUACAUGUACUUAA
Belonocnema kinseyi is the source of this 881-nucleotide long non-coding RNA. RefSeq lists it as uncharacterized. Lineage: Eukaryota; Metazoa; Arthropoda; Insecta; Hymenoptera; Cynipidae. The record is from RefSeq and is a predicted model, not a curated record. The transcript has 4 exons.